Molecule: long non-coding RNA, 576 nt
Organism: Passer montanus (Eurasian tree sparrow)
Lineage: Eukaryota; Metazoa; Chordata; Aves; Passeriformes; Passeridae
Exons: 3
Source: RefSeq, a predicted model, not a curated record
CCUCCCGCCCGCGCUCCCGCGCGCGCCCUCCCCUCAGCGAACAAAGGGCGAGGGCGGGCGGCGCGGUCGCGGCCCUGCAGGCCGAAAACGGGUCUGAAAGAGCCGGACGUGGACAAAAAGACGCGGAACUGAGCGCGCAAAGGGUGUUGAGGCUCAGGGCUGGGAGAGGCAGAGCCUGCACGCCGCGUUAAAUGGGAGCGCUCCGGGCUGGCGAGCGGGAAAGGCCACAGGCCUUAAAAUGCUGCUCACAAGAGGCUGGCAAGCAAUAAAUAUCUUCCUAUUGUGUGAGGAGAGACUGCGGGAGCUGGGCCUGAUGGGACCUCACAUAAACCAGGCAGGGGAGGUGCACCAAAAUGGGAUAAUUUCCCACCAGAACUCAUACUGAAACCCUAAUUAAUAUUGAAAAGUCUGUGCUGUGCCAUGUCUUCAAAUCCUUGGAAUUUGGGUAAGGAGCUGGAUCAGUCAGAAGAGUUUAUAACACAUUUACACAAAUUCAAUGCUUGCACCACCCCUGUUCUUUUGUAAAAAUUCAACUGUUGCAAUAGUUCCUGUUUCUGGUCCAGUGACUUCAUCACA